Molecule: ribosomal RNA, 431 nt
Filed under: uncultured bacterium
Lineage: Bacteria
Description: bacterial SSU rRNA
Rfam family: Bacterial small subunit ribosomal RNA
Source: RNAcentral
GGGCCCGCACAAGCGGUGGAGUAUGUGGUUUAAUUCGAUGCAACGCGAAGAACCUUACCAGGGUUUGACAUCCUGCGAAUCUCUUGGAAACGAGAGAGUGCCUUCGGGAGCGCAGUGACAGGUGGUGCAUGGCUGUCGUCAGCUCGUGUCGUGAGAUGUUGGGUUAAGUCCCGCAACGAGCGCAACCCACGUCUUUAGUUGCCAGCAUUUAGUUGGGCACUCUAAGGAGACUGCCGGUGAUAAACCGGAGGAAGGUGUGGAUGACGUCAAGUCAUCAUGCCCCUUACAUCCUGGGCUACACACGUACUACAAUGCUACGGACAAAGGGCAGCAAGUUCUCGAGGACAAGCAAAUCCCAUAACCGUGGCUCAGUUCAGAUCGUAGGCUGCAACUCGCCUACGUGAAGGAGGAAUCGCUAGUAAUCGCAGGUC